GAUGAACGCUAGCGGCAGGCCUAACGCAUGCAAGUCGAGGGGUAGCAGGAUUAAGCUUGCUUAAUUGCUGACGACCGGCGCACGGGUGCGUAACGCGUAUGCAACCUACCUUAUACUGGGGUAUAGCCCGGAGAAAUUCGGAUUAAUCCCCCAUAGUACUAAUGAAUCGCAUGGUUUAUUAGUUAAAGCAUUGCGGUAUAAGAUGGGCAUGCGUCCUAUUAGCUAGAUGGUGAGGUAACGGCUCACCAUGGCUACGAUAGGUAGGGGGCCUGAGAGGGUGGUCCCCCACACUGGUACUGAGACACGGACCGGACUCCUACGGGAGGCAGCAGUGAGGAAUAUUGGUCAAUGGGCGCAAGCCUGAACCAGCCAUGCCGCGUGCAGGAAGAAUGCCCUAUGGGUUGUAAACUGCUUUUAUUUGGGAAUAAACCUCUUUACGUGUAGAGAGCUGAAGGUACCAAAUGAAUAAGCACCGGCUAACUCCGUGCCAGCCGCCGCAGUAA
RNAcentral lists this ribosomal RNA (503 nucleotides) under uncultured bacterium. RNAcentral describes it as "partial 16S ribosomal RNA". It matches the Rfam family "Bacterial small subunit ribosomal RNA", at positions 28 to 523 of the family's 1533-position model. The record is from RNAcentral.